Small nuclear RNA from Ailuropoda melanoleuca (giant panda), 103 nucleotides. The record is from Ensembl. Lineage: Eukaryota; Metazoa; Chordata; Mammalia; Carnivora; Ursidae.
UUGCUCGUUUUGGCAGCACAUAUACUAAAAUUGGAAUGAUAGAAGAUUAGCAUAACUCCUGCACAAGCAUGACACACAAAUCUGUGAAGCAUAUCAUAUUUAA